This 76-nucleotide transfer RNA is filed under the name Pantoea sp. Sc1. Its description in RNAcentral is "tRNA-Phe". The stretch from base 1 to 53 matches the Rfam family "tRNA", at positions 20 to 71 of the family's 71-position model. From Rfam's summary of the family: Transfer RNA (tRNA) molecules are approximately 80 nucleotides in length. Their secondary structure includes four short double-helical elements and three loops (D, anti-codon, and T loops). Lineage: Bacteria; Pseudomonadati; Pseudomonadota; Gammaproteobacteria; Enterobacterales; Erwiniaceae. The record is from RNAcentral.
AGAGCAGGGGAUUGAAAAUCCCCGUGUCCCUGGUUCGAUUCCGGGUUCGGGCACCAUAUUUAAAGAACCCGCCUCU